Molecule: ribosomal RNA, 468 nt
Filed under: uncultured bacterium
Lineage: Bacteria
Description: partial 16S ribosomal RNA
Rfam family: Bacterial small subunit ribosomal RNA
Source: RNAcentral
GACGAACGCUGGCGGCGUGCUUAACACAUGCAAGUCGAACGGAAAGGCCCUGCUUUUGUGGGGUGCUCGAGUGGCGAACGGGUGAGUAACACGUGAGUAACCUGCCCUUGACUUUGGGAUAACUUCAGGAAACUGGGGCUAAUACCAGAUAGGAGCUCCUGCUGCAUGGUGGGGGUUGGAAAGUUUCGGCGGUUGGGGAUGGACUCGCGGCUUAUCAGCUUGUUGGUGGGGUAGUGGCUUACCAAGGCUUUGACGGGUAGCCGGCCUGAGAGGGUGACCGGUCACAUUGGGACUGAGAUACGGCCCAGACUCCUACGGGAGGCAGCAGUGGGGAAUAUUGCACAAUGGGCGGAAGCCUGAUGCAGCAACGCCGCGUGCGGGAUGACGGCCUUCGGGUUGUAAACCGCUUUCGCCUGUGACGAAGCGUGAGUGACGGUAAUGGGUAAAGAAGCACCGGCUAACUACGUG